CGUUAGUUACAAAUAAAAGUGGUAAAAAACAUUUGAACUAUAAGUUUUCUUAUACACUUUAUGCUCCGGAUUAUUCUUCUGUCUUCAGUUCAACGUAGCUCACAGCCAUGCUCAACAGGAAUGGAAAACUUUUCGAAAUGUGCAAUUUGAAGGUAACAUACAUCUCAACAACGUUACUGGAAGCAUAUCUACUACAAUCAGUUUUUCGUAAAAUUUAAACGGUCCAAUGGGAUUCAAUAUUGACUAUUUUGCUGAAGUAGCCAUUGAAAUUGCAAGCAAGGCAGCAAAUACAAGCUCCAAAACUUCAAAUCGCCAAACGUCAAAACAGUCCCAAAAACCAAAUGUCAGUUUCAUGACACAGUUGCCAGAUCAAA
This is a long non-coding RNA of Leptinotarsa decemlineata (Colorado potato beetle), 374 nucleotides long. RefSeq lists it as uncharacterized. NCBI's taxonomy places the organism in Eukaryota, Metazoa, Arthropoda, Insecta, Coleoptera, Chrysomelidae. The record is from RefSeq and is a predicted model, not a curated record.